UUUUAUUUGAGAGUUUGAUCCUGGCUCAGGAUGAACGCUGGCGGCGUGCCUAACACAUGCAAGUUGAGCGAUUUACUUCGGUAAAGAGCGGCGGACGGGUGAGUAACGCGUGGGUAACCUACCCUGUACACACGGAUAACAUACCGAAAGGUAUGCUAAUACGGGAUAAUAUAUUUGAGAGGCAUCUCUUAAAUAUCAAAGGUGAGCCAGUACAGGAUGGACCCGCGUCUGAUUAGCUAGUUGGUAAGGUAACGGCUUACCAAGGCGACGAUCAGUAGCCGACCUGAGAGGGUGAUCGGCCACAUUGGAACUGAGACACGGUCCAAACUCCUACGGGAGGCAGCAGUGGGGAAUAUUGCACAAUGGGCGAAAGCCUGAUGCAGCAAC
Molecule: ribosomal RNA, 387 nt
Filed under: Clostridioides difficile
Lineage: Bacteria; Bacillati; Bacillota; Clostridia; Peptostreptococcales; Peptostreptococcaceae
Description: bacterial SSU rRNA
Rfam family: Bacterial small subunit ribosomal RNA
Source: RNAcentral